Molecule: long non-coding RNA, 588 nt
Filed under: Gallus gallus (chicken)
Lineage: Eukaryota; Metazoa; Chordata; Aves; Galliformes; Phasianidae
Source: RNAcentral
CUUCAGUCUGAGUUUCAUCAGCGCUUUCAUAGGGAGACUCUGAGCGCUCAUCUCCUGGGCCAUCGAAGAUCUCAUUCUCAGUUAAGGAAGCUGAAGGAGAUGAACUUUUGCUAAAAGCAAGAGUUGAAGAUUCUGCUGCUGAAGCCCGAUUUCGCUUCUUCAGAGGUUUACAUGCAUCAGACAGAUUUUUCGUUGCUGACUGGUUCUUUUGUGAAGAGGAGGUUUCUGUGACCUUAGUAGAGUUUGUUUUUGCUGUUUUGUCAUUGCUUGUCUCCCUCUUCCGAUUAUUCUGUUUAUCCAUCCUGAGUCUUUUCCUAGGUGCCUCCUGAACUUCAAAAUCUUCUGUAGGUUCCUUUGUCCUCUUUUUUUGGUUUCUUUUAUUUCCAUGUAAGUUACUUCUGGAUCUUGAUCUCCUUUUAGGUGAGUCUUGAAACACUUUACGUUUGGCCUCUCCAAUAUUCUUCAAUGAUGAACCAGAGUCUUCUUCAGAUUUGGGAGAGGUCACUAUGGCAAACUUUGUGUUAUAGCGAGCUUUCUGUUUUUCACUAAGCAUGUUCCACUGCGAUUCAAGCAACUCUUCAAUCUCCU